GUCUUUUUGAGUUUAAUUUAAAGUCUAAUCUGCCCACUGAUAAUUAUUUAAGGGCCGCAGUAUUCUGACUGUGCAAAGGUAGCAUAAUCAUUAGUCUUUUAAUUGAGGGCUUGUAUGAAUGAUUGGACGAGAUAUAAGCUGUCUCAUAAAAAUUUAAGUAGAAUUUUAUUUUUUAGUUAAAAAGCUAAAAUGAUUUUAAAAGACGAGAAGACCCUAUAGAUCUUUAUAAUUUAUUUUUAAAUUUUUUUUGGUUAUUUUUUAGAUUUAUGAAUUAAAUUAUUUUGUUGGGGUGACAAUGAAAUUUAAUAAACUUUCAUUAUUUUUAAACAUUGAUUUAUGAAUAGUUGAUCCACUAUUAGUGAUUAAAAAUUUAAGUUACCUUAGGGAUAACAGCGUAAUUAUUUUGGAGAGUUCUUAUCGAUAAAAUAGUUUGCGACCUCGAUGUUGGAUUAAGAUUAAUUUUGGGUGUAGCAGCUCAGUUUAUUAAGUCUGUUCGACUUUUAAUUUCUU
This 510-nucleotide ribosomal RNA is filed under the name Dolichopus rupestris. Its description in RNAcentral is "partial 16S ribosomal RNA". It matches the Rfam family "Bacterial large subunit ribosomal RNA", at positions 1829 to 2597 of the family's 2925-position model. The record is from RNAcentral. Lineage: Eukaryota; Metazoa; Arthropoda; Insecta; Diptera; Dolichopodidae.